AGCUCCAAUAGCGUAUAUUUUAGUUGUUGCAGUUAAAAAGCUCGUAGUCGAAUUUCUGGUGGGAGAGUGCGGUCCGACCUUUAAGGUGGGUACUUGCUCUCUCCGGCCAUCCUUGGGAGGAGCCUGUCUGGCAUUGAGUUGUCGGGCUGGGGAUUCCCAUCAUUUACUGUGAGUUAAUUGGAGUGUUCAAAGCAGACUUAUGUCGUUGAACAUAUUAGCAUGGAAUAAUAAGAUAGGACCACAGCACUAUUUUGUUGGUUUGCGCGCCGUGGUAAUGAUGAAUAGGGACAGUUGUGGGUAUUCGUAUUCAGUUGUAAGAGGUGAAAUUCUUAGAUUAACGGAAGACGAACUACUGCGAAAGCAUUUACCAGGGAUGUUUUCAUUG
Molecule: ribosomal RNA, 385 nt
Filed under: Chaetoceros sp.
Lineage: Eukaryota; Bacillariophyta; Thalassiosirophyceae; Chaetocerotales; Chaetocerotaceae
Description: partial small subunit ribosomal RNA
Rfam family: Eukaryotic small subunit ribosomal RNA
Source: RNAcentral